CCUACGGGGGGCAGCAGUGAGGAAUAUUGGUCAAUGGGCGCGAGCCUGAACCAGCAAAGUAGCGUGAAGGAUGAAUGCCCUACGGGUUGUAAACUUCUUUUAUAAAGGAAUAAAGUGAGGCUCGUGUGCCUUUUUGUAUGUACUUUAUGAAUAAGGAUCGGCUAACUCCGUGCCAGCAGCCGCGGUAAUACGGAGGAUUCGAGCGUUAUCCGGAUUUAUUGGGUUUAAAGGGAGCGUAGAUGGGGUAUUAAGUCAGGUGUGAAAGUUUGGGGCUCAACCGUCAAAUUGCAAUUGAUACUGGCAGCCUUGAGUACAGGAGAGGUAGGCGGAAUGCGUGGUGUAGCGGUGAAAUGCUUAGAUAUCACGAAGAACUCCGAUUGCGAAGGCAGCCUACUAAACUGCCACUGACAUUGAGGCUCGAAAGUGUGGGUAUCAAACAGGAUUAGAUACCCUAGUAGUC
Molecule: ribosomal RNA, 460 nt
Filed under: uncultured bacterium
Lineage: Bacteria
Description: partial 16S ribosomal RNA
Rfam family: Bacterial small subunit ribosomal RNA
Source: RNAcentral